RNAcentral lists this ribosomal RNA (253 nucleotides) under uncultured bacterium. RNAcentral's name for it is "partial 16S ribosomal RNA". It matches the Rfam family "Bacterial small subunit ribosomal RNA", at positions 524 to 776 of the family's 1533-position model. The record is from RNAcentral.
UACAGAGGUCCCAAGCGUUGUUCGGAUUCACUGGGCGUAAAGGGUGUGUAGGCGGCCCGGUAAGUCCGCUGUAAAAGUCAAAGGCUCAACCUUUGAAUGUCAGUGGAUACUGCCGGGCUAGAGUCCGGAAGAGGCGAGUGGAACUCCUGGUGUAGCGGUGGAAUGCGCAGAUAUCAGGAAGAACACCAACGGCGAAGGCAGCUCGCUGGGACGGUACUGACGCUGAGACGCGAAAGCGUGGGGAGCGAACAGG